RNAcentral lists this ribosomal RNA (414 nucleotides) under uncultured bacterium. RNAcentral describes it as "bacterial SSU rRNA". It matches the Rfam family "Bacterial small subunit ribosomal RNA", at positions 505 to 916 of the family's 1533-position model. The record is from RNAcentral.
GUGCCAGCAGCCGCGGUAAGACAGAGGGGGCAAGCGUUGCUCGGAAUUACUGGGCGUAAAGGGCGCGUAGGCGGGCCGCGCAAGUCGAGUGUGAAAUCCCCGGGCUCAACUUGGAGGCUGCUUUGGAAACUGCCGUGCUCGAGUGCGGGAGAGGCGCGUGGAAUUGCAGGUGUAGCGGUGAAAUGCGUAGAUAUCUGCAGGAACACCAGUGGCGAAGGCGGCUCUCUGGACUGUCACUGACGCUGAGGCGCGAAAGCUAGGGGAGCAAACGGGAUUAGAUACCCCGGUAGUCCUAGCCGUAAACGAUGGGCACUAGGUGUGGGAGGUAUCGACCCCUUCCGUGCCGCAGCUAACGCAUUAAGUGCCCCGCCUGGGGAGUACGGCCGCAAGGUUGAAACUCAAGGGAAUUGACGG